This is a long non-coding RNA of Acromyrmex echinatior (Panamanian leafcutter ant), 2219 nucleotides long. Lineage: Eukaryota; Metazoa; Arthropoda; Insecta; Hymenoptera; Formicidae. The record is from RefSeq and is a predicted model, not a curated record.
UAUUAUUAUUAACCUUAUUCUACUAUUACCAUAUCAUUUUAUCAUCAGCAUUAAAGCUAGGCAAUAUAUAACUAUACAAAUCGAUCUGCAGGUUAAGUAGCAUAAUUUAUUUAUCACUUUAAUACAGCUAUCAUUCUACAAUGUAUGUAUAAAUCGUCAAGACUCGUGUAAUUACAGAAAAUAAUCACACGCAAGAAUUGAAUAGCGAAAUAAAGCGAUAUACUUGAUUUAAUGAAUUGAACAAGAUAUAACUAAUUCAGUUAAAUCGUGUGAACGAUAACUGACAUUCGUUGCAAAUUUGAAGCAACAUACACAUUUCCACAAAUGUAAUAAGCUCGUGCAUAAGAAAAGAUCGUAAUAAAUAUCGAGAUACUAAUAUUAACAAGGAAUAAUUAUUAACACAUUUACAUGAAUUGUGAUGUCGCACCAAUGGAUGUGUACCAAAAAGUUGAAUAAAUUGCUGUCCGCUACGAAGAAGAUUUCUUAUAACGAUAUUUUUUACAAAACUUACCGUAAAAAUACGACCUGAUUGAAAGGUAUUGUGAUUAAUUUAGGUUCGUAUCUCUGAGGGGAAGAUUGCAGGAGUGUUGAAGCAUUUGAAAAAUAUUUUAUUAAUUAUAUUUUAUUAAUAAUAUGUAAUCAAUCACGCAUCACAAUACAAAUCUUUGUGUUUCAUCUGAUAUUAAUUCAGUGAAAAAGAUACAUGUUGUGUUUUACAGAGAAAAACAAAAAAUUAUCGAAUGCUUUUGAUACGUUAGAGUGUUUCUGCAAUUAAAUUUUCCUAUAAUAUACGUUUCAUGUAGGUUUCAUCGUUGAGUAUGCCCGAUCACAGUGUUGCCCUUCAAAAGGCAGCUUGCAUAAAAAAAGAAGCAAAGUGCCCGAUGACGAGCCGCAACGUAAUCGCACGUUUGAUUAAUAUCUUCACUGCCGACACUGUUUUGCGCUGUAAAUGUAACUGACUUUACUAAUCAUAGUUUAUAUCAUAUAUUAUAUAAUAGACGAUAUUUAUUCGCGUUCCACUUACAUAUUAAAUGGAAAUACUGAAAUUACAAACCAUAUUAGCGAUUACAAGAUAGUAUCUUUUUUUCCCCCCGUUGAUGUUUAUCUGAUUAUAUUUCAUUCUCAUAAGAAUAACUUUUAUUUUUAAUAUUCCGCAAAUGACACUCUUGUUAUAUUUAUAAUUUACUUCAUGAUCGAAUAUUAUCUUUCAACCAGCAGAUGAUUAAUUUAUAUGAUUUCUUUAAUUUGUACACGAAUUUAAUUUAUUCUAACUCUACAGUGCCUUGUACUUUUCACUGUUACAUUAUGUGGAGCGCACUUCGAUUAACAUUAUUGUCAACGUGAUACGCGUUUAGAUACAUGUUUGAAGCAACGAGUUGCGAGCAGUGGAAGGCGCACUUUCAGACUGAUGAUUUCCAAGUUCGACUCGGGGAACUUUAUAACGCAAACGAUUCCACCCACAGGAUGCUGCGGCCUAGAGAUUAGCCGGCAAGCUUGUGAAAAGAGGAAACAGGAAAGGGGCGGUUAGACCAAGAUACAGAGAACCUUCGUUUUAUCAGACGGAUGAAAACCUGAGAUCGAAGGGUGGUUGAGGGUAAAGAUGUAAGAAACAGUGGCCGAAGAAAGGGAGGGACAUACUUAUAGAAACAGCUGUUCGUCGACUGGGUUAUUGACCGUGCGCACCUACACAGGGGGAAUUUUCACAGCGGACCCUUUCACAAACCUUUCUCAGAUAAUCUCCAGUUUCGUGUCCAAAAUGCCAUGAAUGAUCGUUUGCGAUUGGUCGUUCGGAGAGACAAGGUCGAGCAAGAUGAAACGCUACAGGAACGCGAAGUCUACUCGCAAUGCGUGGAGCACACACUUGUGUGUUCUGAGACAAAAAAAUCACGCAACAUCUGGAACUUCAGGAUAGAAGGCGAUCCGCUGUAAAAACUAUUUGUACACCCCGUACGCGUGGGAGCGAGAUCCACGAUCUCCCUUCGUUAACUCGUAAAGGUCCCAUUUCGUUCUCUCGUUUCGUUGCCUUGAAACGUGUUUUCCCACGUCGAGCGAUUUUUCUUUUCGAUGAUUGCAACAAGAUGUAAGAAUGGUCAUGUAAAAUGACUAAAUACAUCACGUCUAUCAUGAGAUUUUUUUUUAUUUUAUAAAAAUUGAAGCAAAUAAGCUUAAUUAUUGUUUAAAGAAAGACGAUCAUUUGUUUUUGGUUAAUAAAGACAGAA